This is a non-coding RNA of Triticum urartu, 135 nucleotides long. Lineage: Eukaryota; Viridiplantae; Streptophyta; Magnoliopsida; Poales; Poaceae. The record is from Rfam.
UUUGUAUUAACUCCGUCCUAAAUUACUUGUCUCACACUUGUUUAGAUACGGAUGUAUCUAACACUAAAACGUGCCUAGAUACAUCUGUAUCUAGACAAAUCUAAGACAAGUAAUUCGGGACAGAGGGAGUAUGCA